This 254-nucleotide ribosomal RNA is filed under the name uncultured bacterium. RNAcentral describes it as "partial 16S ribosomal RNA". It matches the Rfam family "Bacterial small subunit ribosomal RNA", at positions 524 to 777 of the family's 1533-position model. The record is from RNAcentral.
UACGAAGGGGGCUAGCGUUGCUCGGAAUUACUGGGCGUAAAGCGCACGUAGGCGGCUUCUUAAGUCGGUGGUGAAAUCCUGGAGCUCAACUCCAGAACUGCCUUCGAUACUGGGAAGCUUGAGUCCGGGAGAGGUGAGUGGAACUGCGAGUGUAGAGGUGAAAUUCGUAGAUAUUCGGAAGAACACCAGUGGCGAAGGCGGCUCACUGGACUGGUAUUGACGCUGAGGUGCGAAAGCGUGGGGAGCAAACAGGG